UUCCCGGAGAGUUAGCGAGCGAGCGAGCAAGGACCACGACCGGAACCAGCUAACCCCACGUGGCGCCACCCAAAGCUGGAAGCGAGAGACCCUUCAGGUCACCUGAGCAACGCAAGCGGAAGCUGUAGGACCGGAGGACGAGCCCCGGAGGACGAGCCCCGGGAGAGUGACUGGAAUGUGGCUUUUACAGGGAGAUAAGGGCGUGCUGGUCCCUCAGAGCCUAGUCUCGUCUCUGUUCGCUGAGCUGCAAGAAAGGGAAUACAAAUACGUGCUGCCGUGCGUAGACUUGCCCAGUCCCUAAUAGGUCCUGUCAGUAUCUGCCGAGGUGUAGGAGACAUCUGACCUCUGAUCCCUGAGAUGAGACGGGCAAAAAAGCCGUUCAGUACUUUGAAAUUUUGUCAUACAACAGGCAGCACGCCAGAUCGAGACCACAAGCCAUCCCAGUGAAGUCACCCUGAGGGCAGAGGAAUAUGAACAAGUGUUUUGGAUAUUCCUGAAGCAGACACCACAAGCUAGGCAUUUUGUGAAGGUGGCCCGUGAUGGCACACAGCUCUACGCGACAAAUCCUGCCACCUCAAGUCCCGGGGUGCUGAGCUGCACCAGCACAUGGGGCAGCAGUACUUCCCAACAGUGCGGAGAAGAGCACAUGUCACCACUGGGCGAUGAGAGCAGACAGACUCUUGGCUUCUCAACGCCAGACACGGUCGGAGAGCUUUCCUUGUUCUAUUAGAAAAGUUCAUGAGGAAGCUGUGAAUAGGAUCAGUCCAGAGAAGUAAAACUCUUUUAUUUUCACUGUC
This is a non-coding RNA of Odocoileus virginianus texanus, 797 nucleotides long. NCBI's taxonomy places the organism in Eukaryota, Metazoa, Chordata, Mammalia, Artiodactyla, Cervidae. The record is from RefSeq and is a predicted model, not a curated record.